AGGCAGCAGUGGGGAAUAUUGCACAAUGGGGGGGAACCCUGAUGCAGCGACGCCGCGUGAGGGAAGAAGGUUUUCGGAUUGUAAACCUCUGUCCUCUGUGACGAUAAUGACGGUAGCAGAGGAGGAAGCCACGGCUAACUACGUGCC
This 147-nucleotide ribosomal RNA is filed under the name uncultured bacterium. RNAcentral describes it as "partial 16S ribosomal RNA". It matches the Rfam family "Bacterial small subunit ribosomal RNA", at positions 346 to 509 of the family's 1533-position model. The record is from RNAcentral.